GGCUUCGUAGCUCAUUUGGUAUAGUAGUCACGGUAGUAAUGCGAAGGCGGAAACCGUGCGUGGGUUCGAAACCCAGCGGAGCCA
This 84-nucleotide transfer RNA is filed under the name Fasciola hepatica (liver fluke). Its description in RNAcentral is "tRNA-Thr". The record is from RNAcentral. Lineage: Eukaryota; Metazoa; Platyhelminthes; Trematoda; Plagiorchiida; Fasciolidae.